Long non-coding RNA from Rhodamnia argentea, 1621 nucleotides. RefSeq lists it as uncharacterized. The record is from RefSeq and is a predicted model, not a curated record. The transcript has 3 exons. Lineage: Eukaryota; Viridiplantae; Streptophyta; Magnoliopsida; Myrtales; Myrtaceae.
UCCGACUCGGCGUCUUCCUUCUGUCUCUCUUUCCUUCCCUGAGUUCCCUUCCCUCCCUCCAGCGACGCCCUUCUAGGGUUUUUAGAUCUGUGGUCUUCUCCAUGCAUUUGCUGUUUUGAGAUUCUUUCUUCACUGCAUGUUGUUCUCUCUCUCUCUCUCUCAAAGAGCACCUGCCGUUUUCUCUCGACUUCGUCUGUUGAAGUGAGUGAGUAAGAGAUGGGUUUUGCUUAGACAUCGUCUAAUUUUGUCUGAAAGAGCAUUUUUUUUUUCCAUAGAUAGGAUCUACAAUUUGAUAUUCCUAUGAAAACGAAUUCAUUGCACCGUCUUUCUCACGCAAGCUAGGGUUUUGUCCGUCCUGCUCCUCUCCAUCUCCGCGCCCCUCUCUCUCCGCCUCCAGAGCUGCUCUUCCGCUGCCGUGGCCUCGCGCUUCUCUUCUAGAUCUCAGAGCAGAGAGGUCGCCCCGUUGUCCUUCUCGCUUGCACGGCUGUUCAUCGAGAACCUCGUCUUUCAGUUGUUCACACUUAAAGCAUCUUCCUCUCCCCCGAUCGAUCUACAUCGAUGUGCUUUCUCCUUUGUGAAUUUUUUUUUUAAUUCCUCUCGAUCCCGAGUUUCUGGAGAGCUUCUCCGUGUCGCCAAAAGGCGGUGGUGCUGGUGGCGAAUUCUGUGUUCUUUUGAGCGGCCCCGGUCCACUCCAACAUUAGCGUCUAUCUCAUUUCACCCUAUCGAAUUCAUCUCACAUUCCCUUUGUCCCCUCACAAUGCAAUACCCUGUUCUUGUUCGAUCCGCCGGGCGUCAAUUGGAGUUAGAUUUGUUGACUGAGAUGUGAAUCUGCGAGUAAUUACUGGUUGCGCGAGCUCAUGAUGGAGCGAAACUAAAGGGAUGAGAAAUCGGGUCCCGUUCGAUUCUGCUCCAUAUGUGCUUGCGCAACCUGAACUACUGGCGGCAUGAAUCCCCCUUUUACUUAUGGUGCACUGAAAUUGGAUGCAUUCUGAAAUUCGAAAUACUUAUCAGAUUGUGCGAGUUUUGCCUGCUUUAGGUAGGGGAAAGGCGCGAGUUUUAGUUUUUCAAACCCUGUUAUACUGUUGCGCUCUGCGUUGCUUAUUCCAAGUAAAAGCAUCGGCUUUCUUUCUUUUCUUUUUUUGUGGCUUUCUGUUUAAAUUCCAGUGAAAGCAGCUAGUUCAUAUUCUAAUUAAGGUGGUGAUAGAUAGUUGAAGGUGCGUGCACAAUUGUAGGGUAUUACAUAUUAUCUAUUUGCAUGAUAGAUGCUCGCUAUUGGCUGUUCCAGUUUCCAAUGAAUGUUGAUACAACUCCUAUGUUUUGGUUCUGUUUUUUGUUUUUCCAGAAGGAGGUGCUGCAGUAGAAGUCCUCUUAGACGAACUCUUUACUUUCUGGGUAAUGAAUCCAGAAAUUAUGAUCAACUAUUUCCAAAUUUGAUUUGCUUUCUUUUACAUUAAAGUUAGUGGGCCUAACUGCCUGCCGGAGAUAUGGAUUGCAUCGAUGUUUCUGUUGAGUCAUCUUUCUGACUAAGAAUGACUGACCUGACAAUAAAUGAAUGCAUUGUUAUGGAAAAUGCAAAAAAAUUCAGGGGUGAGCAUGAUUAUAGAAUUUGAUAUCGAAUUGC